This 347-nucleotide unclassified non-coding RNA is filed under the name uncultured fungus. RNAcentral describes it as "sequence contains 5.8S rRNA gene". The stretch from base 1 to 53 matches the Rfam family "5.8S ribosomal RNA", at positions 102 to 154 of the family's 154-position model. Lineage: Eukaryota; Fungi. The record is from RNAcentral.
GAACGCAUAUUGCGCUCUUUGGUAUUCCGAAGAGCAUGCUUGUUUGAGUAUCAGUAAACACCUCAAAACUCUUGAUCUUUUUCAAGCGUUUUGGACUUGAGCAAACCCAACGCCUUUUCUUUUAAGAUCUGUUGCGGCGGGUUGUUUGAAAUGCAUGUGCAGCUGGACAAUCUCCUGAGCUAAAAGCAUAUUUAUUUAGUCCCGUCAAACGGAUUAUUACUUUUGCUGCAGCUAAUAUAAAGGGAGUUUGACCGUAUUGGCUGACUGAUGCAGGAUUUCACAAGGGUCGGCAACGAUUCUUGUAAAACUCGAUCUCAAAUCAAGUAAGACUACCCGCUGAACUUAAG